CGUGCCGGUUCGAUCGGGAUACUCAUCAAAUUAAAUCGAAAACCGAGCUGACUUCUCUUGCCAAUGGCGGGCCACAUCUUCCUUCGGGGAGAAGCCGGAAGGCCGGUGGAUUACAAAAGCGGAGAGCACUCUAAUCUUGUAACACAGGAGUUUUCAUCACAUCACUGGGCGCCCCUUU
RNAcentral lists this small RNA (178 nucleotides) under uncultured Prevotella sp. RNAcentral's name for it is "Bacteroidales-1 6S-Bacteroidales RNA suggested". It matches the Rfam family "Bacteroidales-1 6S-Bacteroidales RNA suggested". Lineage: Bacteria; Pseudomonadati; Bacteroidota; Bacteroidia; Bacteroidales; Prevotellaceae. The record is from RNAcentral.